Molecule: transfer RNA, 71 nt
Filed under: Treponema sp.
Lineage: Bacteria; Pseudomonadati; Spirochaetota; Spirochaetia; Treponematales; Treponemataceae
Description: tRNA-Lys
Rfam family: tRNA (bases 7-65)
About the family: Transfer RNA (tRNA) molecules are approximately 80 nucleotides in length. Their secondary structure includes four short double-helical elements and three loops (D, anti-codon, and T loops).
Source: RNAcentral
ACCAGAAGUUACAUAAUCGUAUAACAGCUGCCUUUUAAGCAGCAGGUAGGGGGUUCGAGUCCCUCGGGUCG